Molecule: ribosomal RNA, 497 nt
Filed under: uncultured bacterium
Lineage: Bacteria
Description: partial 16S ribosomal RNA
Rfam family: Bacterial small subunit ribosomal RNA
Source: RNAcentral
GAUGAACGCUGGCGGCGUGCCUAAUACAUGCAAGUCGAGCGAAAAGAUGAGGAGCUUGUUCCUUUGACGUUAGCGGCGGACGGGUGAGUAACACGUGGAUCACCCACUUAUAUGUCUGGGAUAAUUUCGGGAAACCGGCUCUAAUACGGGAUAAUAUACUGAACCGUAUGGUUCAAUAGUGAAUGACGGCUUUUGUGUCAGUUAUAGAUGGAUCCGCGCCGCAUGAGCUAGUUGGUAAGGUCACGGCUUACCAAGGCUACCAUGCGUAGACGAUCUGAGAGGGUGAUCGGCCACACGGGAAGGGAGACACGGUCCAGACGCCUACGGGAGGCAGCAGUAGGGAAUCUGCCGCAAUAGGCGAAAGCCUGACGGAGCAGCGCCGCGUGAGAGAUAAAGGUCUUCGGAUCGUAAAGCUCUGUUAUUAGGGAAGAACAGAUGUGUAAGUAACUAUGCACGUCGUGACGGUACCUAGUCAGAAAGCCACGGCUAACUACGUG